RNAcentral lists this ribosomal RNA (253 nucleotides) under uncultured bacterium. Its description in RNAcentral is "partial 16S ribosomal RNA". It matches the Rfam family "Bacterial small subunit ribosomal RNA", at positions 524 to 776 of the family's 1533-position model. The record is from RNAcentral.
UACAGAGGGGGCAAGCGUUGUUCGGAAUUACUGGGCGUAAAGGGCGCGUAGGCGGCCUGUUAAGUCGAACGUGAAAUCCCCAGGCUCAACCUGGGAACUGCAUCCGAUACUGGAUGGCUUGAAUUCGGGAGAGGGAUGCAGAAUUCCAGGUGUAGCGGUGAAAUGCGUAGAUAUCUGGAGGAAUACCGGUGGCGAAGGCGGCAUCCUGGACCGACAUUGACGCUGAGGAGCGAAAGCUAGGGGAGCAAACGGG